CAGCACUGCAGAAUAUGGAAACAUGGCUGUCCUUUGACAUCAGCAGGUAUGAUGAUCCAUGCAUAUUGAACUCUCAUGUAAAAUCAUGCAGCAUUUGCUGAAACCUGUAUAUUUUAUUUGUUCCAGUGUUGGAGUGACUCCAAGGUUUCAUGUAUACUAUACAUAUACUCUACAAUCCAGCCACAUGCCUUGCCAUACAUGUUCUUUAAAACCUCACUAGAUUACUUAUAUCUAAUGCAAUGUCAGUCUUACAUAGUUUUGCUAAACCAGUUUUGUUGUUGUUGUUCAAUACAGGUUCAACUUUUAAAACGUUUUUUACCUAUGAUGGAAUCCACAGAUGAGUAACCUGCAGAUACGGAGGGCAGAAUUUAUGUUUAAACCAUAUAUUUGAUAGGAGGCUAAUAUCUGAUCUUAUGACAAUAAGAGUCUAUAGAAAAGGCCAAUAAUUACAUUUGCAAAUACAUGGGCAAAGCUAUGAUGAAUGUUAAAGCGAGGGGAGUAGAGGGGAGAUAGGUCUGGAAGGCAAGAAAUUCAAUAUAGUCAGAGCCUAACAUGUGUCCUGGAAGACAGGGAAAGGAGGAAAAUGCAGGGAAUGGGGGGAGAGGCUACAAGCUGGACAAUGUAGGGAUAUGGGGGGACCAACCACAAAAGUCUUGUAAUUCAUGUUGAGAAAACAGGCUUUAUACUAAGGACUCCAGAUAGGCCCCAAGCAAUUUAAAUAGAAGAGUAACUAACCUUACUAGAUUCGUCCUUGAUAUUGCUUCGCCUGGUGUAUGUGGAACAGACAGGGUGGAAGAAGCACAAUUGAGCUGAGAAAAAGGGAACUCAUGCAGCCGGGCAGGGAUUGUGCACCCAAGUUAUCUGGGGACAGUCAAAUCGUGUCCAGUGAUUAAUGAGAAAAGUGGCACCUCUGGAUAAAAUCUAGAUGGAAAUUAGCUUUUUGGAAGUCAUCAGCAAAGAAAAGGCUACUGGAGUUAUGAGUGGAGAAGACUUGCCUGGGAGUGGGUACCAUGGGAGUGUGAAUACUGUGAAGAACCAGGUGCUGAAGGAACAGCCCACAGAAGAUAAUCGAUGAUAUAGCAGAAGAGGUGGCGUUCAUAAGAGGCAGUGUCAUCUUCGAGGGUUGUGGUGACUCAUUAGCAUUCUACUAGCGCUGCUUCAAGAAUUGUUAGAUUCUGCCUACCAAAGAUGGCCGGUCCUCCAGUGUAAACAAGUACAGAAAGACUGAAAUGCUUUCUUUAUUGCUCCUCUAUUUCAUACAUAAAUACAUUGCCCUUUCAAACACAGAGGGUGAUGAGUUCCCCUUUCUUUGGAGGACCCUGCUUUUCUCUUCAGGUUCCUUUCUAGAACACAGAUUGUGCCAAAUUGUUAUGGUACGUUCUUAAUACAGCUUGUUAGAACAACUAAUGUGUGCACAUGUGUGCACACGCACACACACACACCACUCUUCCACAUUUAUUUGAAUUACAGCAAUGAAGAGAAACAGACAUCAUCAGCAAUGAUCAUUUAGGUACAUUCUACUUGCCUAAAAGUACAAAUUCAGGAAUGAGUUUUUCCGAUCCUUGUAAUUUUCCCCUAAAGUGGGGAAACUUACUGCACAAAGUUGUGAGAUUGAAUGAAUGCAUUGGCACACAGUAGGUAUUCAGUCUGUCUCUCUGUGUGAGUUCUUGGGUACUGAAGGCCUGGUGGAAAACGGCUAUUACAGAAAGUACAUGAGCAUGAACAUCAUGGCUGAUGCAAAUGUUUGGCUGCUGUCAUGUCAAGAUACUGGAUGUUAAUUUGGGUUUCCCUACAAGCUACUUGACUGGAACAAAAGCUUAUUACUAUUUUUUAAUAUUUACAUAUUAUUCAGCAUUUCUAGUUCUUGUUGUGAACUAGUGUCCAGAAAGCUUGCUCUAGAAAAGCCUUAAAAUCACAAGCUCAGCACAGGAGCCUCACGAGAUUCAGAAGUGUAUUUACCUCCAUCUUACAGAAGCUUCUUAUUGUUAAGUCUAAAGCAGUCCCCCGAAAGGGACCACAAAAAUGGCAGCCCACAGAUGGAUGGCUAGCCAGUUAAAAAAAAAAAAAGAAAUAAUGUAACUCAGCAUUCCUCAGAACCUUCUGAAGCAGGUUUUAUAUCAUAAAAAAAAGCCAUGAAUUCCUUAUCCAGAUGCCCAUGCAGCCAACUCCAGCAAGGGCCUCUGGUUUCCAAUGAACUCAAAGAAGACUGUAAUGGGUCAAAGCCCUGGUGCUAGUUCCUAGGUUAUUCUGGUUUGCACCCCACUUCUGAUACUCCCAGGUUGUUCUGGCUCACAGGCCUCCCCCACCACUACCUGUCCACUUAAAGCUGGCCAGGCUCUCCCUCCAUUUGCUGUUCUCUGGUGCUGAGAGAUAAUCUGGCAGUUUGGAUCUACAACAAGCCUUUCUUUCUACCCUCAGAGUGAUCCAGUUUGGUGGCUUCAUUGCACCUUGCAUAUAUACAUCAGUGUAAAUUUCUAUCUCAACCAAUAUUUUUAUUUCUCUGUAACUUCCUCUUCUUUCUCCAUGAAAACCCAUCUGUUCCAUCUAGCUUCUUCCUUGUGUCCAGACAUAUUUGUGUCACAAACAUAAGAGAAAUCAACACUUUCAGAGAUGUCCACACUCAGGAAAACAUGUCUUUUACCCUGUACCCACCUGCCAUCUUCCUAAUUUCCCAACCUCUGAGCUAUGUGUUUACAAAAGCUGUCUCUACUUUUACUUUCUAAGAGCAUUAAACAGUGCAGAUCAAUCUUUUACACUAGUUUAUUGAGGUUUUUCCAAAAAAGUUACAACUGCCUAAAAAAUUAUAAGCAUUUUUUCUAUAUAGAGAUUAAACAAUGAGCAUACUUUGCAUGAACAAAGGGAGGGAAUGACAUUAAAAAGGCAGGGGCGUAGAGAUUUGUGUUAUUUAAGAUUUACAAAACAAUGCAAAUUUAAUGUGUGUGGCCUUAUAAAAAGCACAGCCUGUUUGGCGCAUUGCAGGAGCAAGCCAAUUCAACCACUCACAGAUGGUGGCUUCCCAUGUGCAUCUUCUGUAAGCACUGCUUUCCUUCCUCCUCUCAGAUCUAAGACCAUUCCCUACCUCUCUUUACCAUGUGAGCCUAUUGCAAGGGCUUCUAUCCUAAGUACAGGGGUUGCAGCAACAGUUCGUUCUAGUACUUUGUUUCGUUCAUUUCUGGUUCGAAAAACUUUGGUGACCUCACUAGAGCAUCAGAACAUCACUAUUAGCUAUCUAGCUAAGACUCUGAAUUUAUCAAUUUAUAGACAAUUCAAAGACCAAAAGACAAUAUUUAAAGUCACAAAUCUAGUUCAUACUUAAAACACUCUUUAAAAUAUUUCAUACAUGCAAUGUGUUUUGAUCAUAUUCUCCUCCCAGCUUCCCCUAAUUCCUCCCAGUUACACGCUCCCCUCCCCUCCCCAGAAACCAUCAGCAGUCAACAGCACCUGAGCUAGGGGUGGAGUUUGGGAGCCUCUACCUGCUCCUGGCUGGACUGCUGACUGAAGGCUGCUGUGAGCUUCUGGGUGCAGGCAUGCUGUCAUUUCCAGCACGAGCUAUUGCUCAGGUCGUCUCCAACCUCCAGUUUAUAAUCUUUCAGCUCUCUCUCCCAAAAUAGUCCCUGAUCCUCGGGGAAGGAGUGUGAUGUGGCUGAGCACUCCAGACACGUGUACUCUCUAUUUAGACCAGUUGUGAGUUCCUGCAUUAAUCCUGUCCACUGAAACUUCUCUGGUAAGGUCUGAGAUCUGCACUGAUCUAUAGGUACAGAAAUAAGAAUUUAGAGGACAGUUGGCAUUGUUCAUUUAGCAAAAUACUAGUAGUAGGUUCAUUCUUUUGGUUUCAAUCUACGGGCUAACUCUUGGCCAAAUUUACAACACCUCCUGGUCUUAAAUCCAAUCAGAAAGCAGUUGGUUACCACCAUAUUUGUGGUUAUACUGCAGCCAUGGCUGUAUCUUACCAUACCUGCCAUUUGAUGUCACAGGGUCACAGCCGGGCAGGACCACUGACCCUUUCCCCUGGGCAGCCUACCUAGUACCUUCCAGUUAGAGGCCAUUCUGGUCUACAAAUUGAGUUCCAGGACAGCCAGAGCUGUUAUACAGAGAAACCCUGUCUUGAAAAACCAUAUAUAUAUGUAUAAUUAUAGGGUUAGAGAGAUGGCUCAGUGGUUAAGAGCACUGACUGUUCUUCCAAAGAUGCCAAGUUCAAUUCCCAGCAACCACAUGAUCUAUAAUGAGAUCUGGUGCCCUCUUCUGGCCUGCAAGCAUAUAUGCAGGCAGAACACUAUAUACAUAAUAAAUCUUAAAAAAGAAAAGAAAAAGUAGCCAGGAAACCUCCUUGAAUUUUCCAUAUCCUUUGAAGGUGUGAAAUCUUCACCAAUAGCAUCUCGCCAUCUAGUUCUGGUGAGCAGCCAAGAACAAUGGCAAUAGUUUGCAUUGUUUAGGGAGUAUCCAGGGCCCUUUGACUAACAGUGAUGAACAACUUGGGGGAUUUUCACCCUGGUAGCAGCUAGGAUCAGUAUCACCUGCCUAGCGUAACUCCAUUCAAAUUUCUUUAUAUGAAUGUGUGUGUGUGUGUGUGUCUGAGAAGCUUUAUGAAAAUACUGUGUGUGCAUAGUGAUGUGUGUAUGUGCUGUAGGAAUUUCUAUGCACGUAGCCUUUAAGUUACCCGCCCACUUGGGCGUGGCCUCAUACUAUUUAUGAUGAUGUAAAGUGCACAUCCAGCCUCUUUUCCUGUUGCUGGAUUUGGUUGUUGUUCCCUGUUCCAGCAGAGGAUUGUGGUCUGUGAGUCUACCCCUAAAUAAAUAACCCUCUAUUAUACUCAAUUCUGCUAGUGUGGGAUUUCUUUUAAGCAUCCUUCCUCAUGGAUGUGGGUACACAUGCUGUAGUGUGCCUGUGGAGGCCAGAGGACAACUCUGAGGAGUUGGUUUUUCCAGUCAACACAAGUUUUACAAAUAGAAUUCAGGAUGACCUUGAUCUGCUAAGUCAUCCCACCAGUCUGGAACAUAUAUCUUUGGUAUGUGAGUAUAAUUUAAUGCAUUUAACAAGAGAAUUAGAUAGAAAUACUUAUUGAUGAGAUUUUAUGAAAAAGGUAUUUUAUUUGCAUAAUAACUUUAUUUUUGAAACUAUAAUUACAUUUUUCCCCCUUUAGCUUUCUCCAAUUCUUACCAUGCAACCCCUUGCUCUGUCUCAAAAACCAUUGUUGGUGUCUUGCUUUGUUAUUACAUAAGUGUGUGUGUAUGUUCCCAUAUAAAUAAAUACAAUCUGUUUGGUUCAUAUAUUGUUACAUGUAGGAUGUCAGGGCUGAACAUCCGACAGACCUGUCUUAAGCAAUGAUGAAAUUGAUGGACAUGGUAACACAGAAGAGGGAAAACUCUCAGAUCUCAACUCUGUAUGGGCGCCUGUGGAGGCCAGAAGAGGGUUUGGGAGCUGAAGUUACAACAGCUGUAAGCUGCCCAACAAAAUUAUGUCAAAGGAGAAACCGAGCUGUGCUAUGACUAGCCGCAGACAGUCAUCUCAGUCUGUUUAUUACCAGCAGACAUCCAUUAGCAGUGCACAUCUUACGGGCACUCGCGUGAUACUCCUCUCUGGGUCUGAAGGGAGCCAGCUGACUGACUACUAGAGCACGUGCACACUUCAAGACUUGCUCUCAUGAACUCUGGAGUUUAAAAAAG
Molecule: long non-coding RNA, 5663 nt
Organism: Alexandromys fortis (reed vole)
Lineage: Eukaryota; Metazoa; Chordata; Mammalia; Rodentia; Cricetidae
Exons: 3
Source: RefSeq, a predicted model, not a curated record